RNAcentral lists this ribosomal RNA (460 nucleotides) under uncultured bacterium. RNAcentral describes it as "partial 16S ribosomal RNA". It matches the Rfam family "Bacterial small subunit ribosomal RNA", at positions 338 to 795 of the family's 1533-position model. The record is from RNAcentral.
CCUACGGGGGGCUGCAGUGAGGAAUAUUGGUCAAUGGACGAGAGUCUGAACCAGCCAAGUAGCGUGAAGGAUGACUGCCCUAUGGGUUGUAAACUUCUUUUAUAUGAGAAUAAAAUGUUCCACGUGUGGGAUUUUGUAUGUACCAUAUGAAUAAGGAUCGGCUAACUCCGUGCCAGCAGCCGCGGUAAUACGGAGGAUCCGAGCGUUAUCCGGAUUUAUUGGGUUUAAAGGGAGCGUAGGUGGAUUGUUAAGUCAGUUGUGAAAGUUUGCGGCUCAACCGUAAAAUUGCAGUUGAAACUGGCAGUCGUGAGUACAGUAGAGGUGGGCGGAAUUCGUGGUGUAGCGGUGAAAUGCUUAGAUAUCACGAAGAACUCCGAUGGCGAAGGCAGCUCACUGGACUGCAACUGACACUGAGGCUCGAAAGUGUGGGUAUCAAACAGGAUUAGAUACCCUUGUAGUC